CCUACGGGAGGCAGCAGUGGGGAAUAUUGGACAAUGGGCGAAAGCCUGAUCCAGCAAUGCCGCGUGAGUGAUGAAGGCCUUCGGGUCGUAAAGCUCUUUUACCAGGGAUGAUAAUGACAGUACCUGGAGAAUAAGCUCCGGCUAACUCCGUGCCAGCAGCCGCGGUAAUACGGAGGGAGCUAGCGUUGUUCGGAAUUACUGGGCGUAAAGAGUACGUAGGCGGUUAUUCAAGUCAGAGGUGAAAGCCCGGGGCUCAACCCCGGAACUGCCUUUGAAACUAGAUAACUAGAGUCUUGGAGAGGUUAGUGGAAUUCCGAGUGUAGAGGUGAAAUUCGUAGAUAUUCGGAAGAACACCAGUGGCGAAGGCGACUAACUGGACAAGUACUGACGCUGAGGUACGAAAGCGUGGGGAGCAAACAGGAUUAGAUACCCUGGUAGUCCACGCCGUAAACGAUGAUAACUAGUUGUUCGGUCACUUGGUGACUGAGUGACGCAGCUAACGCAUUAAGUUAUCCGCCUGGGGAGUACGGUCGCAAGAUUAAAACUUAAAGAUAGUACGGCGUGUAGACNGCCGAACGAGACCACCGAGGGAAGGUAGGAG
Molecule: ribosomal RNA, 601 nt
Filed under: uncultured bacterium
Lineage: Bacteria
Description: bacterial SSU rRNA
Rfam family: Bacterial small subunit ribosomal RNA
Source: RNAcentral